UUUUGGGGGCUUGGUUCGCUUCCAUAUCUUCCUGCAUAGAAGCUCUUGUUGCUCGUACAGCUGCUAGCCGUUUAUCAUUUUGUUCAAUGGUCUUGCUUCUCAGUAAUUCAUACUCUACCGCUUUCAGUUGUUCCACCGUGACCCCACCAUCUUUAGCUCUUCCGUUUGCGCUUGCCAUUUUUCCUCCUGCAAAAGAAACACUAUGUGAGUACAUCGCUGAAAAUACAAAACAUUAGAGGAUCAUACACAACACUUACUUUUUUUCAAUAUCACUUGCUUUAAGAACUAGUCCAUCUAUAUCUG
This 303-nucleotide long non-coding RNA is filed under the name Triticum aestivum (bread wheat). Its description in RNAcentral is "long non-coding RNA (TAES_LNC015561)". Lineage: Eukaryota; Viridiplantae; Streptophyta; Magnoliopsida; Poales; Poaceae. The record is from RNAcentral.